This 497-nucleotide ribosomal RNA is filed under the name uncultured bacterium. RNAcentral describes it as "partial 16S ribosomal RNA". It matches the Rfam family "Bacterial small subunit ribosomal RNA", at positions 28 to 507 of the family's 1533-position model. The record is from RNAcentral.
GACGAACGCUGGCGGCGUGCCUAAUACAUGCAAGUAGAACGCUGAAGAGAGGAGCUUGCUCUUCUUGGAUGAGUUGCGAACGGGUGAGUAACGCGUAGGUAACCUGCCUUGUAGCGGGGGAUAACUAUUGGAAACGAUAGCUAAUACCGCAUAACAAUGGAUGACACAUGUCAUUUAUUUGAAAGGGGCAAUUGCUCCACUACAAGAUGGACCUGCGUUGUAUUAGCUAGUAUGUGAGGUAAUGGCUCACCUAGGCGACGAUACAUAGCCGACCUGAGAAGGUGAUCGGCCACACUGGGACUGGGACACGGCCCAGACUCCUACGGGGGGGAGCAGUAGGGAAUCUUCGGCAAUUGGGGCAACCCUGACCGGGCAACGCCGCGGGAGUGAAGAAGGGUUUCGGAUCGUAAAGCUCUGUUGUAAGUCAAGAACGGGUGUGAGAGUGGAAAGUUCACACUGUGACGGUAGCUUACCAGAAAGGGACGGCUAACUACGUG